UACGUAGGGUGCAAGCGUUGUCCGGAAUUAUUGGGCGUAAAGAGCUCGUAGGCGGUUUGUCGCGUCGGCUGUGAAAACUCGGGGCUCAACCCCGAGCCUGCAGUCGAUACGGGCAGACUAGAGUGCUGUAGGGGAGACUGGAAUUCCUGGUGUAGCGGUGAAAUGCGCAGAUAUCAGGAGGAACACCGGUGGCGAAGGCGGGUCUCUGGGCCGUAACUGACGCUGAGGAGCGAAAGCAUGGGGGAGCGAACAGG
RNAcentral lists this ribosomal RNA (254 nucleotides) under uncultured bacterium. Its description in RNAcentral is "partial 16S ribosomal RNA". It matches the Rfam family "Bacterial small subunit ribosomal RNA", at positions 524 to 776 of the family's 1533-position model. The record is from RNAcentral.